GACGAACGCUGGCGGCGUGCUUAACACAUGCAAGUCGAACGGAAAGGCCCUGCUUUUGUGGGGUGCUCGAGUGGCGAACGGGUGAGUAACACGUGAGUAACCUGCCCUUGACUUUGGGAUAACUUCAGGAAACUGGGGCUAAUACCGGAUAGGAGCUCCUGCUGCAUGGUGGGGGUUGGAAAGUUUCGGCGGUUGGGGAUGGACUCGCGGCUUAUCAGCUUGUUGGUGGGGUAGUGGCUUACCAAGGCUUUGACGGGUAGCCGGCCUGAGAGGGUGACCGGCCACAUUGGGACUGAGAGACGGCCCAGACGCCUACGGGAGGCAGCAGUGGGGAAUAUUGCACAAUGGGCGGAAGCCUGAGGCAGCAACGCCGCGUGCGGGAUGACGGCCUUCGGGGUGUAAACCGCUUUCACCUGUGACGAAGCGUGAGUGACGGUAAUGGGUAAAGAAGCACCGGCUAACUACGUG
RNAcentral lists this ribosomal RNA (468 nucleotides) under uncultured bacterium. RNAcentral describes it as "partial 16S ribosomal RNA". It matches the Rfam family "Bacterial small subunit ribosomal RNA", at positions 28 to 507 of the family's 1533-position model. The record is from RNAcentral.